AAGACUAUACUUUCAGGGAUCAUUUCUAUAGUUUGUUUCUAGAGAAGUUUCUCCCAACUUAAUUUUUUAAAUUUAGAUGAUAAAU
Molecule: small nucleolar RNA, 85 nt
Filed under: Nomascus leucogenys (northern white-cheeked gibbon)
Lineage: Eukaryota; Metazoa; Chordata; Mammalia; Primates; Hylobatidae
Description: Small nucleolar RNA U3
Rfam family: Small nucleolar RNA U3
About the family: Small nucleolar RNAs (snoRNAs) are involved in the processing and modification of rRNA in the nucleolus. There are two main classes of snoRNAs: the box C/D class, and the box H/ACA class.
Source: Rfam by way of RNAcentral